AUAUAUAUAAAUUAAAAAAAAAAUAAUUUUAAUAAUUUAAAUUAUAUUAAAAUGAUUAAAUUAGUAAUUUAAUUUGUUUAAAAUUAUUUUAUAAAAAAAAAUAUUUUUAAGUAAUUAGGCAAAAUAAUUAUAUUCACCUGUUUAACAAAAACAUGUCUUUUUGAUUUUAAUAUAAAGUCAGUUCUGCUCAAUGAAAAAUUAAAUAGCUGCAGUAUUUUAACUGUACGAAGGUAGCAUAAUCAUUUGUCUUUUAAUUGAAGGCUAGAAUGAAUGAAUUAAUGAAAUAUAAACUGUCUCAGUUAUAUAAAAUAAAUUUAAAUUUUAAGUUAAAAUGCUUAAUUUUAUUUAAGGGACGAUAAGACCCUAUAGAAUUUUAUAUAUUAUAAAUUUUAUAAAUUUUAAUAAUAUAUUUAGUUGGGAGGAUUUUUAAAUUUAAUUAACUUUAAAGUUUUAAAAAUAUUGAUUUAUAGAAAUUUAAUUGAAAUAUAUUAUAAGAUAUAAUAAAAGAAUAAAUUACCUUAGGGAUAACAGCGUAAUAUUUUUGGAAAGAUCAAAUUGAAAAAAUUGUUUGCGACCUCGAUGUUGAAUUAAAAUAAAUUAUAAAUGUAGGCGUUUAUAAAUUUAGUCUGUUCGACUAUAAAAAUUUUACAUGAUUUGAGUUCAGAUCGACGUGAGUCAGAUUGGUUUCUAUCUUUAAAAAAAUUUAAAAUUUUUGUACGAAAGGACU
This 727-nucleotide ribosomal RNA is filed under the name Osmia pedicornis. RNAcentral describes it as "partial 16S ribosomal RNA". The stretch from base 524 to 682 matches the Rfam family "Archaeal large subunit ribosomal RNA", at positions 2542 to 2701 of the family's 2987-position model. The record is from RNAcentral. Lineage: Eukaryota; Metazoa; Arthropoda; Insecta; Hymenoptera; Megachilidae.